AAAUUAGAAGGAUUUAGUUAAAAAAAUUUUACGGGCCAUCCAAGCCCACGUAUGGCUUCGCCAUCGGCUGUAAAAUUCUAGGAGGAUUUGAUGAAAUUGAUACCUUUCUAUUGUACUUUAAUUUUGAGAUUUACUUUUUGUUCUUCUAUAAUUUUUAUAUUCCCCCAUUCUUGAGUAUCAUAAUAUUAUAGCAGAUAAGUGACAGAAAUAAUCGAAAAAUUGUAGGGAGAAAAGUAAAAACUACAUAAGAAUGAAAUUACUCUAUGUGUUCUCAAAAGUUUUGCUAAAAAAAUUUCAUGUGGCGAAAUUUGAUUAAAAUGCUAAAUUAAACCUUUUUCAGAAGUUUACGAAUUACAUGCAUGGUUUGGGUUUAAUUUAUUCCGAUCCUCUAGAAUUAAAUUAUAUAUGUGCUUAAAAUUCUGUUAGGCGUCAAUUUUAAUUCCCUGAAAAUUAACCAGCUGGUCGACGCGACGGUGACUUGACUUCCAAAGAUCGUAUGAGACAAAAGUCCCUCGGCCUGCUCUGGGGCUGGCGUGGCGGGCUGCAAGUAUAUAUAAUAACAAAAAUCUUUAUCCAAAUCAAUGUGGGUCUCAAACGUUGAUUUUACUGGCAUGCAGAUGCCGAUGGUGAUCACGAACUCGUCCACUGCUCUACUUGUUUUUGUACGUGGCACCCAAAUGAUCAUGCCCUUUGACGUUUUUCUCUCCUUUCAUCGGCCGGCAAUACUUUUUUAAUAAUCUCAAGUCUCAACUCCAUUAAUGAAGUUGUCUAAUUAUUGUCAAGAAUGAGAAGUACGACGCUGAUAAUCACACCCACAAUUGAAUUGUGCAUGUAUGUGCUCACUUUGGAUUAAUUAUGGGCAAUGAACGUCAUGCACCGACCCUUCGGCAGAGCUGGUGCAUUAGUGGCUUAUCCAAGGCGAAAUGGUCAAUCACAUCACAUCUCAUCUAGCCAAGUUCACAAUUGUUUGUAUCAUUGUAUGUAAUUAUGUGAGUUGAUAGCUUGAUGUGAUGUACUGCACGCCUUGCAGGCUGCAGCUGGUGCAUGGCCUACGUACCAACUUUUUGCAACAAGAACAGACAUUCAGUAGACAAAUAGACAUAUUUAUUUAUAGGAUCCCUCUAAGUUACAUGCAUGUACCUUACAACUCUCUCACAUGAAUAGUGAGUGGACUCAUAUCAUUCACUAUUCAUGUGAGAGUGGUGUAAGAUACAUGCAUGUAACUUAGUAUUAGCCUUAUUUAUAGGGAAAUUAUUAAUAGUAUCCUUUAUAGUUGAUCUAUUAUAAAAAAAUAUUAUAAUAUUUUAAGGUUGUAUGAAUCAUCUAUCAUAAAUUGAUAAAAUUAUUUGUCAAUCAUCAAACCGUUAGCUACCAUUUGAAAGUUAAUGAAAUUAUAGUAAAUUAACGAUUUUACCCUUGAAAUUUAAAUUAAAGUAAAGAAAAAUUAUCAAUUGUAUCAUAUGAAAAAACUAAAUUACCCUUUUGGCGUCACCCUAUUUAAAUGGUAAGUAAUAGUUUUGUGGAUGGUAGAUACAUUUUGUCAACUUAGGGUGGACGAUUAAUACACCCUUAAAGUAUUGUAAUAUUUUUUAUAAUAGAGCAACUAUAAAAUAUACGAAUGAUAAUUUCUCUUUUUUAUAUUCAGCAAGAUUUCAUCUUACUGAUUUAUUAUUACAAUGACAUGCAUAAUUUUAUAUUUAUAUAUACAUAACACUAUUCUUAUUAAUUUCUUUCUCCACUUACUGUCACUAUUCUAAUAGUAAUAACUUAGUUCGUGAUUUUAACAGUUUCAUCUAGUGCUCCACUUACUGUCACUAUUCGGCUCUGUCUCUUUGCUUUCUGAUUAGUAUUAAAAAUUAUUUAAUUAUCAAGCGAUAAUAUGUUAUUUUAUGCUUAUGUUAUAAUUUAUAUUUGUGUUUAUGUAAUAUAUUAUGAAUUAUGAAUUAUGUUUUAAAUAUAUUUAAUUUUGUGUAUUUUUAUGUGUUUAUUAGGAAAAUUAUUAAUUUCACGUACUUUGAGGCUCCAAACAGAUAAACGGAGGUCAAAUUUAGAUUCCGGAGGUCCGAAAACCUUAAGAUCAGUCAAGAUCAGCUUAAAAUUGGACUUGUGUAUAAAAAAUUGACUUUUCCUGUUGACCGAGCACUGAUUGGAUGAUGAAAUGAGCUUACAAUAGAUAUGAGUGCAUGGGAUAACUGGCAAUCUUGACUAAAUCUCAACCGUUCAUGAUUCAAUGGCCAUGAUUGUGCCACGUGGCAAUGGUUGGUGAAGCAAGUUGGAGGAUCCGAAUCUUUGUAUUCGGGUCGACCCGAUCCACCCAUUAACCUGCCAAAUCUCAACCGUUCUUUAGGUAAAUCAGACAAGUCAAAUGAUGCCAUGUGUGAUGUUGACUUUUGAAGUUUGACCAGCCAUUAGAUCUUGAUCUAAGGGUUGUGAGGAGCACAUGCAUGAAGCCUAUAAUGGACCGCAAAGCACUGGAUUAAGAAUUUAUUUUUCUAUAAAUAGAGUCUCAUUUUUAUGUUUUAAUCAUCUCUCUACAACUCUCUUCUUCUCAAAUUCUCUCCAUCUUCUUGUAAUCUUGAUUUCCAGGUGUGUUUUUAAUAUUUUGUAUAAUUAUUUUCAUUAAUAAAAUUAGUUUUAUUUCCAAUUUUAGUUGUUUUUAUUUCUUUUAAUUAUAAGUAAUUCAAUUUUACUACUUCUUUUUAUUUUAAUUAUGCUUAACUAAAUAAUAUUAGUUAGGGGAAGGUGAAACUCUUAAGAAAUAAAUAUGAUUUAAUCAAAUUCUAUGUUUAAUUUUAUAAAUUAAAUUAUUUUCUAUUUAAUUUUAUACAUGUUUUAUAGUUUGAAAAUUUGAUUUAUUGUAGACAAACAAAUGAAUUUGGCACAAUAAAUUCUUAAGAUCUUAAUAUAAGGCAUGGUGAAAUGGUAUUUUGACUUAUUGUAGACAAAUUAAAUUUUGGCACAAUAAAUACUUAAUCCAUAAUAAAAUUAAAGGGAAAAUAAUAAUAAUUUGUAUAAUUAAUCUUUUGGGUAAUAAAUCUAAAACAAGUUGGCAAAAAGAAUUUAUUAAGUUUUAUUUAUUUCUAAGAGUGGAUCCAUAACCCUAACUAGUUCAAUUCCAUAGUUUCAUUUAAAUUAAGUUGUUUAUAUUCAAGUUUUAAUUUCAAUUUUUAGAUAAAAUAAAAUAAACUAAUUAAAUCUUUUCUCUGUGGAUCGACCUCGGACUCACCGAGUUAUAAUACAACAAGACACUCUUAUACUUGGGAGUUAAAAUUUACUUUUAAGUUGUGUCACUUUCUACGAACAAAAGCCCAAGAGUAGAACAAAAGACAGCUUAGGGAUGGCAAAAUCCGGGUCCGGGUCCGGGUCCGGGUUUAGCCUUUCCGGAUCCGGACCCGGAUACUAUUUUCUUUUCCCGGACCCGGAUUUUAACCCGAAUUUUUUCACCUGGGUCCGGGUCCGGGUUCAACCCGGAAAAAUCUGGGUUUCCGGAUUCCGGGUUUUGAACCCGGAUCAAUGAAUCAAUAUUAAUUUCUAAAAUUCUAAAAAUAAAAAAUUAAUACAUUUCUAAACAAUAACACAUUUAGAUUAAUCAAUAAAAUUAAUUAAAAAUAAUAUUAAAAUUAAAUAUCCGGUUCCGGAUGUCCGGGUUAACCUAAACCCGAACCCGGACCCGGAUAUAUCCGGGUUAUUAAAAUUUAUUUCGGAACCGAAUUUUUUUAUAUUCCGGUGCGGGUUCAACCCGGCCCGGAUUAUCUGGGUUCAUCCGGGUCCGGGCCGGGUCCGGAUUAUUUUGCCAUCCCUAAGACAGCUAAUGAAGGAGACAAAUUGAUAAAUUCCCCAACUUAGGUUUGCCGACCCGUUCCGCCCAGGGGCUUUGAAUUGGAGGAUUUCUAAUCAGCAAUUAAAUGAAACAUUGUCAUACAUUUAUUAUUAUUACUGAAUAAAGUUCUCUCUUUCUCCAACAGGUUACUAAAUUAUAAAUUCAAUCUCCUGCUUAAAGUGCCAUCUUAAAUAAAUCCAUUCAAAUUUCAAACCAGGAUUAUUCAUUUAUUUGUUUGUUUAAUGACAAAUUAUGCAUGAUUUGAGUAAUUAACAAUAGAGUGGCAACUCUAAUUCCACCUCAACCACACAAAAGUAAAUAAAAAUUAAAACAUUUUAAUGAAUACCCUUAAAAGUUUGAAUUAACAAUAAAGUUGUUCCAAAUUAUUGCCUUAAUAGGGUUGAGGUAAGGCACAUUGGUGGGGUUGCAUAUCAUUUUUCUUAUGGUACAGGUGGCAGUUUGAAGGUUUUAAAAUUAUAAAGGCAGUGUAAAAUCUAAAACUGAAUUGCAAAGGGCAGUUUCUAAAACUUUCAAAUUUGCAAGGGUGGUUCUGAUAUUAUACACGAAGAGAAAAAAAAAAUCACUGCCAAGGGGAGGCCAAUACUCCUAUUUUUUUUUUUUUUCGCAAACUAAUAAUCACAAUUGACGAUCCUCUGCUAUUUAAGGUGAAAAUAUAUCGAUUGUGAGUAUUAUUUUGUUUGAUUUUAUUUUCUUUGAGGUCAAUUUUUCCUAAUGAACAUUCGUUAUAUUUUUAUUAGGUGUACUUCGUGAUUGGUUGGUUCAAAAUACAAAGAACAAGAAGUAAAUGGACGUGUAUAAUAAAAAUACCACUACAUAUUUGAUUGUAUAAAUCAAGAAUUAUUAAUCCUAUAUCUAAGGUGAAUGCACUUGAAGAAAAGCCAAGCCAUAUUGUGGGAAGGAAGAUGGGGAUUGGUGAAUAAGCAAACUGACAAAAUUCAUCAACAAUAUUUUUGAAACCUUUUAUAUAUAUAUAUAUAUAUAUAUGGUUAAUGCUAAGUUACAUGCAUGUACCUUACACCCCUCUCACAUGAAUAGUGAAUG
Molecule: long non-coding RNA, 4882 nt
Filed under: Citrus x clementina
Lineage: Eukaryota; Viridiplantae; Streptophyta; Magnoliopsida; Sapindales; Rutaceae
Description: Citrus clementina (C. clementina) long non-coding RNA (CCLE_LNC003067)
Source: RNAcentral